Molecule: long non-coding RNA, 3474 nt
Organism: Mauremys mutica (yellowpond turtle)
Lineage: Eukaryota; Metazoa; Chordata; Testudines; Geoemydidae
Exons: 8
Source: RefSeq, a predicted model, not a curated record
CACCCUGUUAGCUGGGGCUGGGUUUGUAAGAAAAGGUUCCUGACUAGCUGUGCAUACGAGGGAGACAAGGUCCCCGUUUUCAGGGGCUGCUCAUUUUUCCAUCCGCAAGCAGUGUGUCCUCCGCAAGAGAAGGUUGGAUCUAGGGGGAUGCCUCGAGCUGGCGAGUUCCUUCCCCUCCUCCUGCGUUUCUCUCUCUCCCUCCCUCCCUUUCUCUCUCUCUCUCUCUUCUGUACUGUGUUGGCCAACACACACACACUCUCUUUCUCUCUGUCUGUGUCCUUGCCUAUCCCUGUGCUUUCUCCCUUUAUAGAACACGGGUAGGUGUGGAUCCCCACAGGCUAGGUCUCGGGAGCCAGGAAAAAGUAGGAGGGGAUGAAAAUCAUGUGGGGUAGUGGGUGCGAGAGUGGAGGCAGGUAUUGUAAAAUAUUAGCACGGUAGCAUGUUGGACAGUGAUGGCUCUUCCAUAGGUGGUUUGCUGUUCUUGCAGAGGCCCGCUCAAGGCCAAUGGAGCCGCCCCAGACAGAGGAGAAGCAUCUGGAGGAACGAGACUUGCACAAUCUAGAUGUUUCACUUGGCAGUGGAGCUAAGGAGUGCUCUCGUGAUAUUCGAGGAGCAGUACCAAGGGAAAAGAAGUGGAGGGUCAGAGUCUGCUCCCCUCAUGCAAUGGAAAGCAAGUAAGAGCAGAGAGACAGCGAACGUUACUGAUGCCAGGCAAGAGCCGUCCAGCUUGGAGCCGAGGAGCCGUCACCGUCAGUGAGAGAAGUGUCUUGUUAGCUGCGCUGGUACAGGAAUUGUCCAGGAACCCUACCCGGAGGAGAGACUCUCAGAAGUGAACCUGAUCAGCCUGAACAUCCUUCUAAGCAGACAUGAACAGUCCUCAGCUUUCUGCCUCCUGCAUAAAUGGCUGUGAGUAAGCGGAAAAGAAGUCAUGUGCCAGUCUACUACCCUUAUGUGAUGGAAAGCGAGCGAGAGCGAUGAGACCAUGAGCAUGGUUGAUGCCACGCAAAAGCCGUCCAUCUGGCAGCAGAAGAGCCAUCACUGUCAGUGAGAUAAGUAUUUGUUUUGGUGAGGGCUCUGCUUAUGGCCCACGUUGAUGCUGGUAGGGAUGCCCCGUUAGCUAGGGCUGGGUUUGUAAGAAAAGGUUCCUGACUAGCUGUGGUUGUAAGAGAGACAAGGUUCCCAAUUUCAGGGGCUGAUGAUUCCUCUGGUCAGGAGCAGUGUGUCCUACGCAGCAGAAGGUAGCAUCUAGAGGAUGACUCCAGGUGUCGAGUUAUUUGCCUUCCUCCCGUGUUUCUCUGUCUUCUCUAUUGUGUUGGCCAACACUCUUGCUCUUUCAUUCUCCCUUCCUUGCCUUUCCUGGUGCCGUCUCCCUAUGUAGGACGCGGGAAAAGGGUGCUAGGUGUGCAUCCACACAGUCUGUCUUUGGGACCCACGAAGACUUAGGAGGGUAUGAAAAUCAUGCAUAUUAGUGGGUGCCACAGUGGAGCAAUGUCUGUCAGUGUUGACUUGGUCUUUAAUCAUCGCCUGGGGCUGAUGUAGACCAAAUGAGAGAGGGAGGCAGAGAUUAGGGCAAGAUUUCACAUACCUUCAGAGCUUUGUGUAAUGCUGACUCACCCUUGGCUUUUGCAACUGCACUGCAGAGGAAUUGUCCAGGAGCGCUGUCUGGAGGAGAGACUCUCAAAAGCGGACCUGAACAUCCUUCUAAGCAGACGUGAACAGUCCUCAGCUUUCUGCCUCCUGCAUAACUGGCUUACCAAGGGAAAAGAAGUCACAUAUCAGUCUACUGUCAUCAUGCGAAGGAAAGCGAGACCGACGAGACCGCGAUCAUUGUUGAAAUCAGGCAUUAGCUGAACAUCUGGGAGCGGAGCAGUCACCGCUGUCAGUGAGAUAAAUGUCUGGUUUGGUGAGGGAUCUGCUCAUGACCCACCUGGCUCCAGUUUGCAGAGGAAUCAUCCAGGAGCCCUUGCCGACCAGAAUAUGCAGAAGUGGAUGUGAGCAGCCUGGAAAUCCUUCUAAGGAGACCUCAACAGUCCUCAGGUUUUUGCCUUCUGCCUAACUGGCUCUGAGUAAGCGUAGCAAGAGAAAAGAAGUCACAGGCCAGAGUCUACUGCCCUCGUGCAAUGGAAAGAGAGCAAGAGCGAUGAGUCUGCAAGCGUUGUUGAUGCGACGCAGAAGGCGUCCAUCUGGGAGCGGGACCGCCACCACUCUCAAUGAGAUAAGUGUCUUCUUUGGUGAUUGCUCUGCUCAAAGCCCAUCUUGCUCCCGGUAGGGACGCCCCGUUAGCUGGGGCUGGGUUUGUAAGAAAAGGUUCCUGACUAGUUGUGGUUACAAGGGAGACGAUGUCCCCAUUUUCAGGGGCUGCUCAUGUCUCUGGCCAGGACCAGUGUGUCCUCCGCAGCAUAUUAGAUCCAGGGGGAUGACUCCAGCUGGUGAGUUUCUUGACUCCCUCCCAUGUUUUUCUCUCUCUCUCUCUCCUCUAAUGUGUUGGCCAACACACACUCUGUCUCUGUCUCUCACUCUCUCUCUGUCCUUGCCUCCUCUUGUGCUGUCUUCCGUCGUAGGACACGGGCAGGUGUGUUAGUUGUGCAUCCCCACAGGCUAGGUCUUGUAAGCUAUGUAGGGGACCGAAAUGAUGCAGGGCAGUGGGCGCUAGAGUGAAGCGGUGACUGUGGGUGUUGACUGAGUCUCUGCUCUAGUGGGGCUGAUGUGGGAGGCAGGGAUGAGGGCAAGAUUUCACGCACCAAUUGAAUUUUUUGUAGUGAGGGCUCUUGGUUGGCUUAUUUGCUGCACUUGUAGAGGAAUUAUCCAGGAGCAGCAGCCGGAGGAGAAAUUGGCCGACGUGGGCCUGAGGAGCCUGGACAUUCUUCUAAGGAGACAUGAACAGUCCUCAGCUUUCUGCCUCGUGCAUAGCUGGCUGUGGUUAAGUGGUUCAGUGUGUCUGACCAGAGUCAUCUGUGCAGAGUGACUAUUUCAGGUGUCGUCGCAAGGGGUGCUUUCUACUUGUAGUCAGAAAGGCGUGAUGGGAGGAGGGUUCAGGGCAGAGCCCCACCAUGUGGGAGAGGCAAAAAGAAGCGGCUACCCAACAUUGCCAAUUGAGAUGGUGACUGACUUGUUUUCCCGCUGGAUUUAGUACCAAGGGAAAAGAAGUGACAAGUCAGAAUCUACUGCCCUCAUGCGAUGGAAAGCGAGCGAGAGUGAUGGGACUGCGAGAAUUAUUGAUGCCUUGAAAAAGCCGUCCAACUGGGAAUGGAACAGUCAUCACUGUCAAUGAGAUAAGUGUCUGUUUUGGUGAUUGCUCUGCUCACGGCCCACCUUGGUCCUGAAAGGGAUGCCCCGUUUGCUGAGGCUGUUUGUAAGAAAAGGUUCCUGACUAGCUGUGGUUUUGAGAGAGAGAAGAUCCCCAUUUUUAGGGGCUGCUCAGUUUUCUGGCCAGGAGCAGUGUGUCCUACGCAGCAGAAGGUUGCAUCUAGGAGA